GACGAACGCUGGCGGCGUGCUUAACACAUGCAAGUCGAACGGAAAGGCCCUGCUUUUGUGGGGUGCUCGAGUGGCGCACGGGUGAGUAACACGCGAGUAUCCUGCCCUUGACUUCGGGAUAACUCCAGUAAACUGGGUCUAAUAUCCGAUAUGAGCUCCUGCUGCAUGGUGGGUGUUGUUAAGUUUCGGCGUUUGGGGACUGCCUCGCGGCCUAUCAGCUUGUUGGUGGGGUAGUGGCUUACCAAGGCUUUGACGCGUAGCCGGCCUGAGAGGGUGACCGGCCACGUUGGGACUGAGAUGCGGCCGAGACGACUACGGGGGGAAGGGGUGGAGAAUGUUGGAGAAUGGGCGGGAGCCUGAUGCAGCAUUGCGGCGUGCGAGGUGAUGGCCUACGGGUAGUAAGCCGGUUACGCCGGAGACGAAGCGUGGGUGACGGUAAUGAGUAGAGAGGCACCGGCUAACUACGU
Molecule: ribosomal RNA, 467 nt
Filed under: uncultured bacterium
Lineage: Bacteria
Description: partial 16S ribosomal RNA
Rfam family: Bacterial small subunit ribosomal RNA
Source: RNAcentral